UACGAAGGGGGCUAGCGUUGCUCGGAAUCACUGGGCGUAAAGGGUGCGUAGGCGGGUCUUUAAGUCAGGGGUGAAAUCCUGGAGCUCAACUCCAGAACUGCCUUUGAUACUGAGGAUCUUGAGUUCGGGAGAGGUGAGUGGAACUGCGAGUGUAGAGGUGAAAUUCGUAGAUAUUCGCAAGAACACCAGUGGCGAAGGCGGCUCACUGGCCCGAUACUGACGCUGAGGCGCGACAGCGUGGGGAGCAAACAGG
This 253-nucleotide ribosomal RNA is filed under the name uncultured bacterium. RNAcentral's name for it is "partial 16S ribosomal RNA". It matches the Rfam family "Bacterial small subunit ribosomal RNA", at positions 524 to 776 of the family's 1533-position model. The record is from RNAcentral.